GACGAACGCUGGCGGCGUGCCUAACACAUGCAAGUCGAACGGAUAGGCCCUGCUUUUGUGGGGUGCUCGCGUGGCGAGCGGGUGAGUAACACGUGAGUCUCCUGCCCUUUACUUUGGGAUAACUUCAGGCAACUGCGGCUACUACCGGAUUGGAGCUCCUGCUGCUUGGUGGGGGUUGGACAGUUUCGGCGGUUUUGGCUGUACUCGCGGCUUAUCAGCUUGUUGGUGGGGUAGUGGCUUACCAAGGCUUUGACGGGUAGCCGGCCUGAGAGGGUGAACGGGGACAUGGGGACUGAGAGACGGCGCAGACUGCUACGGGAGGCAGCAGGGGAGAAUAUUGCACAGUGGGGCGGAGUGUGUGGCAGCAACGUCGGGUGCGGGAUGAAGUCCUUGUGGUUAUAAACCGCAGUCGCCUGUGACGAAGCGUGAGUGACGGUAAUGGGUGAAUAAGCACCGGCUAACUACGUG
This 468-nucleotide ribosomal RNA is filed under the name uncultured bacterium. Its description in RNAcentral is "partial 16S ribosomal RNA". It matches the Rfam family "Bacterial small subunit ribosomal RNA", at positions 28 to 507 of the family's 1533-position model. The record is from RNAcentral.